UAUAUAUAUAAGAUAUAUGUAUAUAUAUAUGAUGUUAUGUAGCUUAGAUUUUCCCACUUGGUGGCCUGUAGAUUUUUCCGGCCAAACCCAACAAGAUAAUGCACCAGCACAGAGAAGCUAAUCACAGCCCAAUCAGCAUGAGGUCUUCUGGCAGAUUCUGGCACUGCAGAAUGCAAGCCCUCAAAUGUAUUUCCAAGAACAAAACCAGUCAUUUUCUUUCUUCUCUGUGAUCACAGAUAGCCCCAAUCCCAGGAGGUGCCUGUCAAACUGCACAUAAGGGAACUGUAUUUUCUGGGAAAAAACCAAUGUGUCAGAGGCAGUGAUCACAGGAAUAACCCCUUCUUUCUCUUUUUUUGCAAAUACAAUUCAGCGUUCCCUCAUUUCUGCAGUAGCCCCUUCCCAGAUUUUAUGUUCUCAGACAAGUUUCAGCACUACCUUUUCCCUCAAGGCAAAUCCAUUGUGCCCGUCACUUUGUCAAUAUCCCUACUCCAGCCAGGUUCUAGGGGUGUUGUGUUUUGAAAGUUGCCCAUCACACAAUCUGUUGUCUGAUUCAGGAUCUGUUACACCUCCCAGGCACAUCAGUAGUCUACCUUUGUACUACAGCAAAAGCUUGAAGCGAUUAAUCAGUUGCAAAUCAAAUAUUAAAAAUGAGGAUUAAUCUCAUCACUGCAGCCCGACAGAUGCGGUUAGUGCUAAUAAAUAAACUUCAAACUUCCUGGAGACACUGUAAAGUGCAUUCUCAAUUUGCUUCUGCACCGGAUUCCUAAGAGAGAGGAGGGGAGAGCACCAUUGAUAUUCUAAGGCUGUGCUACCCAAGGAUUCAAGCAGCUGGUUCUGCUAUAUCUCACAAGAUAAAAGAUUCAGAAAUUAGAGGGGGAGAAACAUUCCGACCUGAUGCUCUCUGAUCUUCCUAACAACCCUUCAGUCUCCAUCACGUCGUGUGGGCACUGAGAUACAUGAGGCCAAAUAAAAAUAAAAUUACAACAGCUAUUAACAUGUGUGAUGGAAGGGUACAUGAAAACUCCAUAUGUUUAGUUUUUCGUAUAAUUUAAAACAGUAACAUAUUGGCCUUCAAAAUGGAACCCCCUGGCCUCUAAACUUCAAGGAUAAUGGAAGAUGCUUGCUUAGAAGAAAUCAGUCUGGAAAGCUGCAGUCAUCAGUCUCAAAGUAAUUUCUGCCAAAACUACAGUAGUCCUCCAGCAACUUAAACACAGGAAGAGAAAAAAAAAGUGCCGGGAAAAUGCUAUUUGAAAAGGUUUAUUAACAGUACAUUAGAGACCACAUAUCAAAGUUACCUGUUAGAAAACUGGUGAAAAAUACAGAGAGAUACGCACAUAUAACUCAUAUAAAAAUGGAGCAUAGUGAAUUCAACAAUACAUGAAAAACAAAAGCAAACCCACCACGAGCCAAGUAAAAUUUGAUCCAAAAAUUCUACGGAAGUACAAUAGAAAGAUCUACUGAGGUAGUUUGUUGCAGUGGUAGAGCCUCAUACCCACAUCUGACUUAGGAAUUUCAACUGUAUAAUUAAGCUACAAAAACAAAACAAUAAUAACAAAACCAAAAACUACUGUCAUUGAUGAAAGAUGGGCUCUUUAACAUAAGCCAACCCUUUCGUGAGAUUCAAUCAAAGAAACAAUGAUCUAUUCUAACAAUGGAGGAAACUUUAGCUGAGCUGUUCUCACUAAGAAACAUAAAGCCAGAAAUGGGGAUGUACAGCAAUACAAAACUUCCUCGACUUACAAUGUGAUUAUGUCCUGACAAAUCCAUUGUAAGUGGAAAACACCGUAGGUCUAAAUGAACUUAACAUACCCAACUUACUAAACAUCAUAGCUCAAACUUGCAUACCUUAAAUGUGCUCAGAACACUUCCAUUAGCCUAGAGUUGGACAAAAUCGUCCAGCACAAAGCCUGUUCCGUCAUACAUUGUUGAUAUUCCAUGUAAUUUGUUGUUUACUUUACUGAAAGUGAAAAGAGAAUGGUUGUCUGGGUGUAGAAUGGUUGUAGGUAUAGAGUUGUGAGUUGUGAUCUCAGGGCUGAGCCAGGGUGCAGAGGCUGCCAUUGCCCAGCAUGGUGACAGAGGAUCACUAAGCCUGGGAAGCAAACAAAACUCCAAGUAUGAUUUAAACAAAAUUCAAAGUAUGAUUUCUGCUGAAAACAUAUGACUUCCACCAAAAAAAUUAUGAGCUGAAUCAUCCUAAGUCAGGAAUCUUCUGUACAAUUUUCAUCUUGUUUGAUGACUUUCAACAUUAAUACCCCUUCACAUAUCCAUACUUUCGAGGACAAAAAUGAUAUGGUCACCUAGGCAUAUAAGGUAGAGAAAGCAUUUGGUAAAAUUGAGCACAUAUUCCCAACACACUUUUAAUAAAGCACAAGGAUGUCUGCAGCAUUACAUCCAAUAGUAAAUUUUGUAGGAAAAAACAAAACAAAACAGUAUACAUGUAUUGGAGAGAAAUCACCACAUUAUGGUGUAUCUACACCAAGAAAUUCUGCAUAAUCAUUAAAAGGAAGGAAACAUACCAUCACACACAAUAAUGAGAGGAAAGAUGCGAACUAAAGGGCAGAAUGAAAACUACAAUAGCAAUUUCAUCAAAGACAUGACAGGUACAUAUACAUUAACCAUUUUUAUUGAGGUACAGUUAAUUCAAAAUGUUGUGUUAGUUUCCAGUGUAUGGCAGUGAUUCUGUUAUACAUAUACAUAGAUAUAUAUAUACACAUUAUUUCCAAUUCUUCAAAGUAUAUGUUUUGUUUUUGUUUUUUAGGACCACACCUGCAGCAUAUGGAGGUUCCCAGGCUAGGGAUCAAAUCAGAGCUGUAGCUGCUGGCCUAUACCACAGUCAUAGCAACACGAGAUCAGAGCUGCAUCUGUGACCUACACCACAGUUUACAGCAAUGCCGGAUCCUUAACCCACAAAGAGAGGCCAGGAACUGAACCCACAUCCUCAUGGGUACUAGUUGGAUUCAUGAUUCUCUGAGCCACAAGGGGAACUCCCAAAGUAUGUUUUUAUAUUUAAAAUAAAAAGCAGCUAAAGAUAUUCAUUAAACCAUUAAUAGUGGUUAGCCCUGGGGAAAGAAAGUGGAGCAGCUUUCAUUUUUUACUGUAUCAGUUUCUGAAAUCUUAUUUUUUUAAAAAAACAUAUUUCUUCUGUCAUUAAAAAAAUACAUAAAUCUAGAGAAUGCGGGGUGGGGAGUGAAUUAAAAGCCACAGAAUUGGAACCAGCCCCAGAGAGGUCAUCUAGGAAAAACUAUGUCCAUCUCCAUCAAAGAAGAAAGGCAUCCUUUUUAUGAAGACUUUAGAGAAGAAGAUGGCACACCUCCUGGAGAACCUAGUCAAUGGUUAUACCACCUGAACAGUGAGAAAAAGAUCCUUCCUUUUAUCUACCCUCCACCCCUCAUUCUCAGCUCAGAGCCCAAUCCUUUUGUUCUUUCCUCAGGAGUUAUAGAAAACAGAUGGUCACACCAUGCUUUGAAUUUGUCAAUGAAUCACACAAAACCAACAGUGUUUUUCUGGAGGGACAAUAUUGUGUUCUACAGCACAGAAUGACAUCUCCCAAUGUGCUCCUCGCACAGUAACUUACCAGACUUCAUUACUAAUGAGCCAUUCAAAGGGUUUUUAACAGAUGUAUUUAACUCAAUUCAACAAAUAUUAAUUGUCUCCUCCGCACUUGGUAUUUUAUCAUGAGCUGCUAAAUAAGGUGAGGAGAGAGAAAUUUUACGACUUGUUAAAAAUUUGCUAUUUUAUUUUGUCUUUCUUCUUAAACUUUUUUGGACAUUUACUCUUUGCCAGCAAGGUCAUAUAAGCUUUAGCAAGGUCAGCACUGAUGUUCUGGCCAGGGCAUAGGCAAGUUGGAACCAGAAAGACCAAGAGAGAGGCUUCCAAGGUCAUCACAAAUCCAGUGGUGACAGCAGGGUUAAGGUUAGGGACCCAGAUAUAUCAAAGAAGACCUGAUCUGGCUUGAUGACAGACUAGCAAAAUUUGGUAGUCUCAUCAACAGCAAGAGAGGUUCAUUCCAGUAAUUGAUAUAAACUGGGAAGAAAAAUGAUGGAUUCGAGAAUUCUUAAGUUAAUAGAGAAAAAAAAAAAGGUUAGUAUCCGGAAAAAGGAAGGCAGUUUAAAAAGCCAAAGUUGGACCCCAGAUUUUUAAUUUAGGAAAGGGACUCACCGUGUUAGGUUACCUCUGCACUUUCUACACCUCACAGCUUUCUGCAGUUAGCAUGAAAGUUUGGUGGCAACUUCACCACUUGGUCUUACUCUUUUAUAUCCAUAUCAAAAGGUAAAACUUGGAGUUCCCAUCAUGGCUCAGUGGUAAUGAACCUGACCAGUAUCCUUGAAGAUUCAGGUUUGACCCUUGGCCUCGCUCAGUGGGUUAAAGGAUCCAGUGUUGCCAUGAGCUAUGAUGUAGGUGGCAGGCUGCAGCUCCAAUUCAACCCCUAGCCUUGGAAUUUCCAUAAUCCAGGGGUGGGGGCAAAAAAAAGGGAAAAAAAAAAAAAAAAAAAAAAAAAAAAAAAAAAAAAAAAGGUAAAACUUCAUAUACCAAGUGACCCACUCCUGCCUAAUCCAAAUCCACUAAGGAAUGAACUAAAGAAGAGACACUGCUGCAUGUGAGGACAAAAAUUGAGCAUUAUUCACCACUGGUAGGUUGUGUUUCCUCCCUCAAAAAAUAAAUAAAUAAAUAAAUAGUAAAAAAAAUUAACUAUUCAUGCUGCAAAGUUGGUAGUAUUUUUGUAUUUUCUUUAAGUAACCACCCU
RNAcentral lists this long non-coding RNA (4744 nucleotides) under Sus scrofa (pig). RNAcentral describes it as "lncRNA (ENSSSCG00050030589.1)". Lineage: Eukaryota; Metazoa; Chordata; Mammalia; Artiodactyla; Suidae. The record is from RNAcentral.